GACGAACGCUGGCGGCGUGCUUAACACAUGCAAGUCGAACGGUGAAGCUCCAGCUUGCUGGAGUGGAUCAGUGGCGAACGGGUGAGUAACACGUGAGCAACCUGCCCCAGACUCUGGAAUAAGCGCUGGAAACGGCGUCUAAUACUGGAUACGAGAUCAAGCCGCAUGGUUAUGGUCUGGAAAGUUUUUCGGUUUGGGAUGGGCUCGCGGCCUAUCAGCUUGUUGGUGAGGUAAUGGCUCACCAGGGCGACGACGGGUAGCCGGCCUGAGAGGGCGACCGGCCACACUGGGACUGAGACACGGCCCAGACUCCUACGGGAGGCAGCAGUGGGGAAUAUUGCACAAUGGGCGAAAGCCUGAUGCAGCGACGCCGCGUGAGGGAUGACGGCCUUCGGGUUGUAAACCUCUUUCAGCAGGGAAGAAGCGAAAGUGACGGUACCUGCAGAAGAAGCACCGGCUAACUACGUG
RNAcentral lists this ribosomal RNA (468 nucleotides) under uncultured bacterium. RNAcentral describes it as "partial 16S ribosomal RNA". It matches the Rfam family "Bacterial small subunit ribosomal RNA", at positions 28 to 507 of the family's 1533-position model. The record is from RNAcentral.